This 254-nucleotide ribosomal RNA is filed under the name uncultured bacterium. RNAcentral describes it as "partial 16S ribosomal RNA". It matches the Rfam family "Bacterial small subunit ribosomal RNA", at positions 524 to 776 of the family's 1533-position model. The record is from RNAcentral.
UACGGGGGGAGCAAGCGUUGUUCGGAUUUACUGGGCGUAAAGGGCGCGUAGGCGGCCACCGCAAGUCGACUGUGAAAUCUCCGGGCUUAACCCGGAAAGGUCAGCCGAUACUGCGGGGCUAGAGUGCAGAAGGGGCAACUGGAAUUCUCGGUGUAGCGGUGAAAUGCGUAGAUAUCGAGAGGAACACCUGCGGCGAAGGCGGGUUGCUGGGCUGACACUGACGCUGAUGCGCGAAAGCUAGGGGAGCAAACAGG